Molecule: ribosomal RNA, 315 nt
Filed under: uncultured eukaryote
Lineage: Eukaryota
Description: partial 18S ribosomal RNA
Rfam family: Eukaryotic small subunit ribosomal RNA
Source: RNAcentral
CCCUUAGACGUUCUGGGCCGCACGCGCGCUACACUGACCAGUGCAACAAGCAUCCGUCCUUGGCCGACAGGCCCGGCCAAUCUUUGAACGCUGGUCGUGAUGGGGAUAGACUUUUGCAAUUUUUGGUCUUCAACGAGGAAUUCCUAGUAAACGCAAGUCAUCAACUUGCAUUGAUUACGUCCCUGCCCUUUGUACACACCGCCCGUCGCACCUACCGAUUGAAUGGUCCGGUGAAGCCUCCGGAUUGGCGCGCACCUCGGUGCCGCCGAGAAGUUGGCUAAACCUUACCAUUUAGAGGAAGGUGAAGUCGUAACA